ACCGCCGUUCCUCCUAUGCGGAGCGGCCGAGGCCACACGGACAGCCGGGUCGAAUGCCGA
Molecule: small RNA, 60 nt
Filed under: bovine gut metagenome
Description: Streptococcus sRNA SpF59 (ldcC RNA)
Rfam family: Streptococcus sRNA SpF59 (ldcC RNA)
Source: RNAcentral